This 460-nucleotide long non-coding RNA is filed under the name Pan troglodytes (chimpanzee). RNAcentral's name for it is "long non-coding RNA NONPTRT005683". Lineage: Eukaryota; Metazoa; Chordata; Mammalia; Primates; Hominidae. The record is from RNAcentral.
AAGAUCACACCACUACGCUCCAGCCUGGGUGAGACAGUGAAACUCCAUCUCAAAAAGAAAAAAGAAUGGAGAGUCAAGGGACUUAUAUGGUAGUAAGAUUUCUACAUUCCACUUGAGGGUAGCCAACAAGAUGUAAGCAGAAGUCUUAUGGUGUGGCUUCUGGGAAACCUCUCCAAAGGUAACAGACUAAGAUGGGAGGCAGGUGCUUUUUCUCUUCUACCUUCCUUUUCUUUCAAGACUGGAAAGUAAAUAUGAUGGCUGGAGCUACAGAAGCAAUUUUACAAUAAAGAAGUAACUUUAAGGAGCCUGAAACAGUGAUUCCAUUGCGAUGUCAUCAUACCAGCCCUAGACUACUUACCUACCUACCUCCAAAUUCUCUUAUAUUAAAUCAUUAUUAUAGUUUCAUUUCUUCUCCAAGCAGCUAAAUGCCAUUCCUAACUCAAUGUUUCCUCAACUUUCC